GACGAACGCUGGCGGCGUGCUUAACACAUGCAAGUCGAACGGAAAGGCCCUGCUUUUGUGGGGUGCUCGAGUGGCGAACGGGUGAGUAACACGUGAGUAACCUGCCCUUGACUUUGGGAUAACUUCAGGAAACUGGGGCUAAUACCGGAUAGGAGCUCCUGCUGCAUGGUGGGGGUUGGAAAGUUUCGGCGGUUGGGGAUGGACUCGCGGCUUAUCAGCUUGUUGGUGGGGUAGUGGCUUACCGAGGCUUUGACGGGUAGCCGGCCUGAGAGGGUGACCGGCCACAUUGGGACUGAGGUACGGCCCAGACUCCUACGGGAGGCAGCAGUGGGGAAUAUUGCACAAUGGGCGGAAGCCUGAUGCAGCAACGCCGCGUGCGGGAUGACGGCCUUCGGGUGGUAAACCGCUUUCGCCUGUGACGAAGCGUGAGUGACGGUAAUGGGUAAAGAAGCACCGGCGAACUACGU
RNAcentral lists this ribosomal RNA (467 nucleotides) under uncultured bacterium. RNAcentral describes it as "partial 16S ribosomal RNA". It matches the Rfam family "Bacterial small subunit ribosomal RNA", at positions 28 to 506 of the family's 1533-position model. The record is from RNAcentral.